AUUGAACGCUGGCGGCAGGCCUAACACAUGCAAGUCGAGCGGAUGAAGGGAGCUUGCUCCUGGAUUCAGCGGCGGACGGGUGAGUAAUGCCUAGGAAUCUGCCUGGUAGUGGGGGCUAACGUCCGGAAACGGGCGCUAAUACCGCAUACGUCCUGAGGGAGAAAGUGGGGGAUCUUCGGACCUCACGCUAUCAGAUGAGCCUAGGUCGGAUUAGCUAGUUGGUGGGGUAAAGGCCUACCAAGGCGACGAUCCGUAACUGGUCUGAGAGGAUGAUCAGUCACACUGGAACUGAGACACGGUCCAGACUCCUACGGGAGGCAGCAGUGGGGAAUAUUGGACAAUGGGCGAAAGCCUGACCCAGCCAUGCCGCGUGGGUGAAGAAGGUCUUCGGGUUGUAAAGCCCUUUUAUUGGGGAAGAAGAGCAGUAGGUUAAUCCCUGGCUGUUUUGACGGUACCAAAAGAAAAAGCACCGGCUAACUUCGUG
This 484-nucleotide ribosomal RNA is filed under the name uncultured bacterium. Its description in RNAcentral is "partial 16S ribosomal RNA". It matches the Rfam family "Bacterial small subunit ribosomal RNA", at positions 30 to 507 of the family's 1533-position model. The record is from RNAcentral.